This 253-nucleotide ribosomal RNA is filed under the name uncultured bacterium. Its description in RNAcentral is "partial 16S ribosomal RNA". It matches the Rfam family "Bacterial small subunit ribosomal RNA", at positions 524 to 776 of the family's 1533-position model. The record is from RNAcentral.
UACGUAAGGGGCAAGCGUUAUCCGGAUUUACUGGGUGUAAAGGGAGCGUAGACGGCAGUGCAAGUCUGAUGUGAAAGCCCGGGGCUCAACCCCGGGACUGCAUUGGAAACUGUGCAGCUAGAGUGUCGGAGAGGUAAGUGGAAUUCCUAGUGUAGCGGUGAAAUGCGUAGAUAUUAGGAGGAACACCAGUGGCGAAGGCGGCUUACUGGACGAUAACUGACGCUGAGGCUCGAAAGCAUGGGUAGCGAACAGG